GAUGAACGCUGGCGGCGUGCCUAAUACAUGCAAGUCGAGCGAACAGACGAGGAGCUUGCUCCUCUGACGUUAGCGGCGGACGGGUGAGUAACACGUGGAUAACCUACCUAUAAGACUGGGAUAACUUCGGGAAACCGGAGCUAAUACCGGAUAACAUGUUGAACCGCAUGGUUCAACAGUGAAAGACGGUCUUGCUGUCGCUUAUAGAUGGAUCCGCGCCGCAUUAGCUAGUUGGUAGGGUAACGGCUUACCAAGGCAACGAUGCGUAGCCGACCUGAGAGGGUGAUCGGCCACACUGGAACUGAGACACGGUCCAGACUCCUACGGGAGGCAGCAGUAGGGAAUCUUCCGCAAUGGGCGAAAGCCUGACGGAGCAACGCCGCGUGAGUGAAGAAGGUCUUCGGAGCGUAAAACUCUGUUAUUAGGGAAGAACAAAUGUGUAAGUAACUAUGCACGUCUUGACGGUACCUAAUCAGAAAGCCACGGCUAACUACGUG
RNAcentral lists this ribosomal RNA (497 nucleotides) under uncultured bacterium. Its description in RNAcentral is "partial 16S ribosomal RNA". It matches the Rfam family "Bacterial small subunit ribosomal RNA", at positions 28 to 507 of the family's 1533-position model. The record is from RNAcentral.